AGUGAACGCUGGCGGCAGGCCUAACACAUGCAAGUCGAACGGCAGCACGGCAGUAGCAAUACUGUGGGUGGCGAGUGGCGGACGGGUGAGGAAUACAUCGGGAUCUACCCUGUUGUGGGGGAUAACGUAGGGAAACUUACGCUAAUACCGCAUAAGAACUGAGGUUGAAAGCGGCGGACCGCAAGGCGUCGCGCGAUUGGAUGAACCGAUGUCCGAUUAGCUAGUUGGCGGGGUAAAGGCCCACCAAGGCGACGAUCGGUAGCUGGUCUGAGAGGACGACCAGCCACACUGGAACUGAGACACGGUCCAGACUCCUACGGGAGGCAGCAGUGGGGAAUAUUGGACAAUGGGCGCAAGCCUGAUCCAGCCAUGCCGCGUGGGUGAAGAAGGCCUCGGUUGUAAGCCUUUGUCCGUAAGAAAGACAUUCGUUAAUACCGGUGUUCUGACGUACCGGGAGAAUAAGACACCGGCUAACUUCGUGCC
This 483-nucleotide ribosomal RNA is filed under the name uncultured bacterium. Its description in RNAcentral is "bacterial SSU rRNA". It matches the Rfam family "Bacterial small subunit ribosomal RNA", at positions 29 to 509 of the family's 1533-position model. The record is from RNAcentral.